This 87-nucleotide transfer RNA is filed under the name Mycoplasmopsis synoviae. Its description in RNAcentral is "tRNA-Leu". It matches the Rfam family "tRNA". Rfam says of the family: Transfer RNA (tRNA) molecules are approximately 80 nucleotides in length. The record is from RNAcentral. RNAcentral also lists the same sequence under 3 other names. Lineage: Bacteria; Bacillati; Mycoplasmatota; Mycoplasmoidales; Metamycoplasmataceae.
GCCCAGGUGGCGAAAUAGGUAGACGCAAGGGACUUAAAAUCCCUCGGUCGCAAGACCGUGCUGGUUCAAGUCCAGUCUUGGGCACCA